AGGAGUGUGGCUCAUUGGUAGAGUACCUGCUUGGCAUACAGAAGGUCCCGGGGUCAAUUCCCAGCAUUCCUA
This 72-nucleotide transfer RNA is filed under the name Sphaerodactylus townsendi. RNAcentral's name for it is "tRNA-Ala". It matches the Rfam family "tRNA". From Rfam's summary of the family: Transfer RNA (tRNA) molecules are approximately 80 nucleotides in length. Their secondary structure includes four short double-helical elements and three loops (D, anti-codon, and T loops). Further hydrogen bonds mediate the characteristic L-shaped molecular structure. tRNAs have two regions of fundamental functional importance: the anti-codon, which is responsible for specific mRNA codon recognition, and the 3' end, to which the tRNAs corresponding amino acid is attached (by aminoacyl-tRNA synthetases). tRNAs cope with the degeneracy of the genetic code in two manners: having more than one tRNA (with a specific anti-codon) for a particular amino acid; and 'wobble' base-pairing, i.e. permitting non-standard base-pairing at the 3rd anti-codon position. Lineage: Eukaryota; Metazoa; Chordata; Lepidosauria; Squamata; Sphaerodactylidae. The record is from RNAcentral.